AAUUCUCAACCUUCAACACUUUUGUGAAGAAGGCUUGGACUUGGAGGUCGUGUUGGCUUGCAAAGGUCGACUCCUCUGAAAUAUAUUAGUGCGAACCGUACGGAUCGCUUCGGUGUGAUAAUUGUCUACGCCGUGGUGUUGAAGUAUAGCAGUGUUCGGGCUUCUAACCGUCUGCAAGGACAACUUUCUGACA
RNAcentral lists this unclassified non-coding RNA (193 nucleotides) under uncultured Antrodiella. RNAcentral's name for it is "sequence contains ITS2". Lineage: Eukaryota; Fungi; Basidiomycota; Agaricomycetes; Polyporales; Steccherinaceae. The record is from RNAcentral.